CGGGUGGAUCACGAUGCAAUUU
RNAcentral lists this microRNA (22 nucleotides) under Xenopus laevis (African clawed frog). Its description in RNAcentral is "xla-miR-363". Its record names the gene xla-miR-363. RNAcentral also lists the same sequence under 6 other names. Lineage: Eukaryota; Metazoa; Chordata; Amphibia; Anura; Pipidae. The record is from miRBase by way of RNAcentral.